RNAcentral lists this long non-coding RNA (5381 nucleotides) under Homo sapiens (human). Its description in RNAcentral is "HSALNT0104993". Lineage: Eukaryota; Metazoa; Chordata; Mammalia; Primates; Hominidae. The record is from RNAcentral.
CUAGUUUGUUAUAUAAUAUAAAACAUGUUUAUUAGAUUCUAAAAGACAUAAAAAGAAAAUAAUACAUGUGUAUCAGUGAGAGAGGUGCAAAUUAGGAAGAGAACUAAGGAUUAUUCUUAAUUCCUGCCUUCCUUUCUAAAUCCCAAUCCUCAAUUGAACUCUUUAAUUAUAUUUCCUGUUUAUUUUAUUGAAUGGAAAAAAUGGAAAAUUAUCUAACAUUUGUCAUGGAAAUAUAGGAGAAAUUACUCUCAGAGAUAUGAUGUUAUUUAAGUCAUUGACAUAUUGUUAACCUCAGAUGCAAAUGGUGGAAUUAAUAAUAUUCCUCAGUUCAUGGUACAUAGUCACUGUUGGUCUAGUGCUAGUUUGUAGUUGUAUUUGUAUUUUUUAUUUUUUAGAAAUACGGUCUUCCUUUGUCACCCAGGCUGGAGUGCAGUGGUGUGAUCACAGCUCACAGUAAGCUCAAACUCCUGGGCUCAAGCAAUCUUCCUGCCUUGGCCUCCCAAGUAGGUAGGACUACAGGUGCAUGCCACCAUGCCAGCUAAUUAAAAUGUUUUAAAUUUAUUUUUGGUAAAUGGGGUCUUGUUAUGUUGCCCAUAGGCUUUAGUGCUAUGAUAAGCUAGUAAUUAUAGUGAACAUUCUUGUCUUGGAUACCCAAGGUUUUUCCGUUAUGUAUACUAGUGGUUACAGAUUUUUUGGAUUAUAACCUUUGCCAAAAUAGGAAAGUUUUGAUUCCUGCUUCCUUAACUGUUUUUCAAAAAUCACAAAUGGAUAUACUUUACCAAAUGUCUUUUAUUAAUAGACUGAGCAAAGGAAAUGACUUUUCUAUGAAUAUGGUAAAUUAUAGCAACAAUAUGUUUUAUUAUAUUGAACCACCCUAGUAUUCCAAGGAUUCCCUAUUUGAUCUUGAUGUAUCAUUAUUAGCAUAAUCAUUAUUAUUAUUGUUAUUAUUAUACAUAUUUUUAGAGACAGGGCCUUGCUCUGUUGCACAGGCCGAAAUGCAGUGGUGCAAUCAUAGCUUACUGCAGCCUCAAACUCCUGGGCUCAAAUGAUCUUCCUGCCUCAGCCUCCCUAGUAGCUGAGACUACAGGUGCUCACCAUCACACCUGGCUAAUUUUUUAAUUUUUUGUAGAGACAGGAUCUCACAGGAUCUCAGUAUGUUGACAAUGCUGGUCUUGAACUCCUGGCCUCAGGCGAUCCUCCCACCUCGGCCUCCCAGUAUUAUUAUUUGUAAUAUUGUUGAAUUCGGUUCAUAAAUAAUUAUUUUUUUCUCCCAUCUGUGUUCAAGGUGAAAUGGGUCUAUUAUUUUUUUUUCCUUGAGUUUUCCACAACUCAAUUUGGAGUCAAGAUUACACUCGGCUGAUAAAAUUAGCUAAUCAGGUUUAGUUUUUUUCUGUUUUCUGGAAAAAGUAUAUAAUAUAGAAGUUUCAUGUUCCUUGAAUGUUUGAUAGAACUCAUCUGUGAAACCAUCUGGGCAUUUUCAAAAAUAUAUUUUUUUAUUAGAUGCCAUUGAUAACUUUAAAAAUUGCUUUAAUACUCAUUGGUAUAGUCAAGUUUUGUAUUUCUUUUUGUGCUAAUUUUGAUAGAUUAAAUGUUUCUAGGAAUUUGCUUAUCUCACCUAGGUUUUCAAAUUUAUUAGCAUAUACUUGUUCAUAACACUCUAUGCUUUAUAUCUGUGUCAUAUCUGUAGCUGUUCCCCCUUUUUCAUUAUGUAUUUGUUUAUUCAUUUUUUCUCCCUUUAUCCAUAAUCGGCCUUGUUGUAACUCUGAAUAUCUUACAAAUAUUUUUAAGUAAGCAGCUUUUGGAAUCAAAAGUAUGUUAAUUUUCACUACCUAGUUUUUUGUUCUCUAUUUCUGUUUCAUUGCUUUCUAUUCUUAUCUUUAUAACUCCUUUUCUUCGUAUUUCUUUAGGUUUGCUCAACUUCUCUUUUUCCAAAUUUUUGAGUAGAAUUUCUAGGUCCUUUAUUUUAACUUUUCUUGUUCUAAUAAAUGUAUUUGAAAUUAUAAUAUUAUUUUAUAUGUAUAUUUUAUGUGUAACAUUUUUAACACCUGGUUCUAAAAGAGUUAAUUUUCUUUAUAACUGCUGUUUAUUUAUUUGACACAGGGUCCCACUCUAUUGCUGAGGCUGGAGUGCAGUGACGCAAUCAUGCCUCACUGCAGCCUCCAUCUUCUGGACUCCAGCGAUGCUCCCAUCCACGACUGCCUUUUAAAUCCAUGUUACUGAUAAAUAUAUUUGUUCACUUACAAUUUUAAGUAUAUUUUAGUUAUCAAGUUCUAAUUUUAUUACAGUAUGGUUGCAGAAUAUAGUUUCUUUCUUUCUUUUUCUUUUUUUUUUUUUUUUUUUUUAAGACAGUGUCUUACUCUGUUGCCCAGGCUGGAGGGCAGUGGCACAAUCUCAGCUCACUGCAACCUCUGCCUCCUGGGUUCAAGCGAUCCUCCCGUCUAGCCUUCUGACUAGUUGGGAUUACAGGUGCACCCCAUCCAGCUAAAUUUUUUGUAGAGACGGGGUUUUGCCAUGUUGCCCAGGCUGGUCUCAAACUCCUGGGCUCUAGGGAUCUGCCCACCUUGACCUCCCAAAAUGUUGGGAUUACAGGCAUGAGCCACUGCUCCUGGCCUAGAAUAUAGAUAGUUUCUAAGAUACCGAUACUCUGGAAUUUAUUGGCGUUACCUUUAUGGAAUGAUGCAUGUCCUAUUUGAGUAAAUGUUCUGUGUGGCUUGAACUAUUAUAUAUAAUUUUUGGUUUUCUGGCAACUUUUAAAAAAUGAAUUUUAUGAAUCUUGUACCUCAUUUUAUUUCCUUCUUUGCUUUCACUAUCCUAUGGCCUGGAGCCAAUUAUUUUUUAUCCAUUUAUAGUUGGCUGAUAAAUAUGUGUCCUGUUAAACCGGCUCUCUGAAGAAAAACAAUGCUUCUGACUUGUAGCAUUGCUGAUUUCUAUAGUAUAAAUACUUCCAUAGUGGUCAAUAUCAAGUUACCAAUAGUUAACAACUGUCUUCAAAAAUCCUGAAUACUUUGCAAUCUGCUCUUGCUAGCCAGUAUAAGACAGCGCACCACUUUUUUUUUUUUUUAAGAUAUUCACGUUGUCCAUUAGUUUCCAUUAGUUUCACUCCUUGGCUUCACUUACUUUUCUUAACCAUAUUUUCUCUCUGACCCAGUGUUGUUUUCUUCUUUUAAAAAUUGUUUUAAAUUAUCUCUGUAAGCUGCUACAAACCUUUUAUUGGAAUGAAGGGCAUUAGAACAGUUAUUUGGCCAAUACAGAAAAAUGAAGUCUUCUAAUUUUUUUUUUUUUUUUUUUUUUUGAGAUGGAAUUUCUCUCUUGUCGUCCAGGUGGAGUGCAAUGGCGCAAUCUUGGCUCACUGCCACCUUUGCCUCCCGGGUUCAAGCGAUUCUCCCUGCCUCAGCCUCCCGAGUAGCUGGGAUUACAGGCACCAUGCCCAGCUAAUUUUUGUAUUUUAAGUAGAGAUGAGGUUUCACCAUGUUGGCCAGACUGGUCACGAACUCCUGACCUCAGGGGUAACCUGGUACUCCUGAGGGUUCAGACUCAGAAUUAGGGAAUUUCCGCCUGUACUCUCAGUUUGGAGAUUCCCCUACACAUUCCUGCCCGCAGGGGCCCUUUUUCUUCAUUCCUCUGGCCAGAAAGCCGGUAUUUCUCUUGUUAACUCAGGGCUUGUGCUACCACGCAGUGCAGCUCUGCACCUGAGGCCUGACGUCAGGGCAGAGCUGGGAGGAAAAAAGGGGAAAACAUUGAAAACCCACUCCCCAGGAGGGGCCCCUCUCCCAGUUUUGACCCUCUUCACAAUCCACCUGCUUUUGUUUACUUUUUGGAGUCCUUGAGUACUUGCUUUUUGUAUACUGCCCAGAAUUUCUACUUGUGAUCAGUGGGAAAAAUGGGCUAUUUAAAAUCUCAAAUAAGUUAAAUAUCAUGGCUAGAAACAACUCCAGGCAUUUGUAAUUUUAGAUUUUUUUCUUUACACUCCAGGGGGAUGUGAUUGUUUUAGAGUUUUGAAUUCGUAUGUUUAGCCUGAGAUCCUACUAGUAUUUCUGUUGAAUAUGCCUGUUGACUGCCCACUUGUUAGCAAAAUGGCAUUGAAUGUUGGAACUGUAAACUACCUUAGAAAUCAUUCAGCACCAUCUUUUGACAGAAAAGGAUAUGAGAGUUCACUCCUGUCACUCAGGAAGUGCAAGGCAAAGAUAGAAGCAGAAUUAAAUUUGUUUUAAUACAGUUACUCAGCCAUCUGGUAACAGUUUCCUAAGUGCCAACGAAUGUAUGGGGCUAUUUAUUGCAGAUUUUAAGAUGAUAUAUGGGGAUUGAGGGAAUGAGAAGUUUUAGGGAGUGGUAGAGGAAGGGCAUAUAAUAAGACUGAAUCCCAGAUCCCAGCCUCAGAACUUAUUUUGUGACCUUGGUCAAGUGAUUUAAUCUUUCCAAACCUCUAUGUGUCCUAUAGAAGUAAUAAUAAUACCUAUAUAGGGUUGGGUGUUUUUUUUGUUUGUUUUUUCUUUUUCUUUUCUUUUUUUUUUCUUAAGAUAGGGUCUUUCUCUGUCACCCACGCUAGAGUGCAGUGGCGCAAUCACAGCUCACUGUAGCCUCAAACUCCCAGGCCUAAGCGAUCCUCCCACUCAGCCUCCCAGGCAGCUGGGACUACAGGCAUGCACCACCGCACCCGACUAAUUUUUAAAUUUUUUUGUAGAGAUGGGGUUCUCACUAUGUUGCCCAGGCUGGUCACUAACUCCUGGGCUCAAGCAAUCCUCCCGCCUUGACCUCCCAAAGUGCUGGGAUUACAGGUGUGAAUACAGGGGGUUUUUUGGUUUGAAUUUUAAGAGAUAAAAUUUAUAAAACAUUUAGCCAAUGCCACAAAUGUAGCUUCUUUUGGUUAUUGUCAUUAUUCUUUGAAAUUCACAAGUGCCCCAAAAUAUUUAAGCAUUUUUCAUGUAUUGCCCUUUAAUAUGAAUGAAUGCAUUAUGAAAGGAAUUCUUUUACAUGCGAGUUUGCUGAUAGUCUUAGCUAAUUCUCAUGUGUGUAGGUGUCUUGCCUAUCUGUCAGUCUUAGCCUUAAAGGAAAGAGUCCCAUCACCUCACUUGCGGCCUCAUCAUCAUGGACCGCAUGAUGAUGCGGAAUGAGAAUUUUUAUUGUUUGUACUACUUCAAAAUCAUUCAGUACGUGAUCACCUGUCAUGUAUAGGGCUCUUUAUAUUUCUAGUUUAGUCCCUUUUGUUUUCUCUAGGAAAGAUGUUUUAGACCUGGGACAAAAGAAGAAAGAGUGUAUGCUGACAUCUAGGAGGGAAGCACCCACCUCCCCUAAGCUCCAUCUCCCUGAGCACUCAUUUCCCAAUGACCAUACCAGGUUUUGGCCCUAGAGAGUUUAUUACAAAAUAAGAAAGAGAAGUCUGG